This 2319-nucleotide long non-coding RNA is filed under the name Nicotiana benthamiana. Its description in RNAcentral is "long non-coding RNA (NBEN_LNC038274)". Lineage: Eukaryota; Viridiplantae; Streptophyta; Magnoliopsida; Solanales; Solanaceae. The record is from RNAcentral.
AAAUAAUGCAAUUAACGAGAUUUAGACACUGACUUAUAUCAAACUUGAGUUGGAAUUAAAGAUGACAUUAAAACGGUUUGGAUUACAAUCAAUGAACUAAGGACGCUAAAAACACAACUUGACAUUUACGUGCUGAACGUUUGUAUUAUGCCACGUUAAAACCAAAUGAACUAUAUUAUGAGAUAUGAUCACCAGAUUCCUAUGUAUUCCACAUUUAAUAGGACUUCAGCCUGUAUUACUCUAUCAAUACUAGCUGAACCAAAUUAAAACUACUAGGUACGCCAUUCACAUACUCAUAGGAAUUCACAUAAUUGGCUUAGCAGUUCAUAGCUAAGAGUCUUAGGCAAUUCCACUUAAAUGCAAAUCUAAUUACCAGUCACAUAAUCCACAAAUUACAUAGCCUUAAUACAAAUCCAAACAGUCCAGAUCUCAAACAAUUCGAAACUAUCACAAAUCCAUUUAUUCUACUACAAAUAGGCUGAAAUAAUAAACUUCCAUAUGGUACUGCAGUUAAUCAAUGGGACAGUGGAUGCUUCAUGGGAGGUCAAACAGCAAGAACAAUUUCAUUUCACAAAGGAAUUACAUGAAGUCGAUUUCGAGUGUGUACCUGAUUUCGAAAUUAUAAGGAGAAAGAGGAUAUGUCAGUGACAAUAAAACACAGCAGCAGCAGGAACUUUUCAAAAUUCAAGAAGAGUCAAUAGAUUCACCCACAACAACACCAAACAACCAUAAACCAACCAGUAAAUCGUCACACUCGAUGGAUAAAAACUCAACUAGCUCGAAUAAAACAGAAGCAAUGCACAGUUAACUCCAAAUACUUCCAGAAUUCAAAUGUCGAACAGAAAAAGGAGAAUUCUAGCUAUUUUUCUGACCCUAAAUGAAAGUAUCAGUCGAACUAAAAGCUGUAUUAAGAAAACAAGAUCAAUGUACAAGUAUUUUUGGUAUUUUUGUGGCUUUUGUAUAUUUUUUGGUUUUUAUAAAAUGAACAGAAGAGUUUUAGAUCUCGAUCUCAAACCUGAAAUUCAAACUAGCUUUAGAAGACAUAUAACUAUUUUUUAGAGGGAUUUUCUGCUGAAAAAGGAAGACCCUAAACUAGGUGUGUAUGCCUUUUAUAGGCACCAAAUAGGUGAAUUAUUAGUUUUUGUUUUUCUUUCAAGUCCCUAUUAAUUUUUAGCUUAUAUCCCUUAUUUCUACAGAAAUGUACCUUUACACCCACACCUAGAAGUUUCUAGGAAAUUCUUAGCUAGAUUCCAUGCCCUGAAUUACCCCAACUACCCUCAACUUAUCCCAACAUUACUAAAGUAGAACAGCUAUAUCCAAACAAAUCCUAGGGUCUGAACUUUCAACUAGAAAAAUGUAAUCAUAAUUCAACUAUUAACUAAUCUAUCUACUGAAACCAUUUAACAGCAACAAUCAUCAAAACUAAUUACAAACUGAAAAUUAAUCAGACUUAACAACCAUAGAAAAUACAAAUAAUUAUUAACUAAACAGGAUUACAAUUGAGAUUAAGAAUCAUUAUUCAAAUAGCCAAUUGAAACAAGAAUCAUUAUUCAAAUAGCCAAUUGAAACAAAUCUAAGGAAUAACCGAUUAAUCGCCUAAAACUAACACGAAUCAAGCAGACAAGGAUAAAAAAAAGAUGAAAUAGCAAUAAAGAAAAGUCAUUAAUUUCGGACUAACCAUAAUUACUAAACAAAAUUAAGAAGCUAUGUAAUCCUGGGAAGUCAGUGAACAUCAAAAAAGGGAAAAAAAUAUUGAAAGAAAAUAAACUCGAAAACUCACUGACUCACUUCGAGACUCCGGUCAAAUUUCCAAGUUCGAACACGACCAAAUCUGGCAGAAACAAAGCUCGAUUAAUGACCAAUUCACUACGAGGAAUGUUAGAGGGUCAUUUGGUAUCAAAUUGGUGAGGUUUGGGGCAAUUAAGGUUUGGCCGGUAAGUCUUUGACUCCGAAUUUGAGGAGUUACAAUGGGAUUCGAAGAAAACCAAUUGGUGUUUUGGGAUGAAGGUGGUGAGGAGAAUCUAUGGUGUUGAUUUGGAGGGAUUUAGACGAAGUAGAGUUGUGGCCGGAAAACUUCCAACGAAGAUUCAACGAUCUCCGGAAGGAUUCGAGGGAAACUAAGGGCAGGGAUGGAAAGAGGGGAACGAGGAGAAUUUGUGGUGUAAUUUGGGGAUGGUUUGGAGGUGGUGGCAUUCGCCGGCGGCCGCUCCGCCGGUGGAGUUGCAGAGAAGAUACGAGGAAGAAGACUUGGUCGUUAGGGUUAUACACGUAUUCAGACACUUAUAUUAAAAUACAAAGAUCCAACGUGGGCCGUUGGAU